This 216-nucleotide unclassified non-coding RNA is filed under the name Steccherinum ochraceum. Its description in RNAcentral is "partial internal transcribed spacer 2". Lineage: Eukaryota; Fungi; Basidiomycota; Agaricomycetes; Polyporales; Steccherinaceae. The record is from RNAcentral.
UCUUCUCAACCCACCUGUCUUUUUUGUUAAAGGCAGCUGGGCUUGGACUUGGAGGUUUUGCAGGCGUCCGAAUUUUUAAUUCGGAAGUUGGCUCCUCUGAAAUGCAUUAGCUUGAAUAGAACCAAGCAUGAUUCAGCGUGAUAAUUGUCUACGUUGCUUCAUCUCGGUGAAUUUAAUGUUCGAGCUUCUAACCGUCCCUUGGGACAAUCUCUGAAC